UCAGAAAGAAAUAAAGUAUUUUCCUAAGAAAAAUACUUUGGAUGCUAGAUACCCCUGUACACGCUACAGAAAAUCAAGUACGUUCUACUUAUACGUAUAUAAAAUUCAAGCAUAAACCCUAGGUCUAAGAGAGAGAUGCCGCAAUACUAUGAUCAUACAUUUCUAAACAUAAAGCACUUAAGAAAAAAAAUAAAAGUAAACUGCAGUUUGACCUUCCAAUAAUUUUGAAGAGGAUACUUUUAUAAUGACUCUCGGUCCUACAAUUUUUGUGCCAAUAAACUCCGUGAUCGAUUAUUCCUUUCAUUUCAAAGUAGACGAUUCCUUCAGUUUCGCCUUUUCUUGUUAUCAAUGAUGAUUUCUCUACCAACCCUUUUCUUUGAACAAAAAUAAAAAGUAUUCGCUUUCUUGGCCCAGCUUGGUGGCGAAGACCCGUAUUUGAACUCAACAGACACUUCACCCUCCGCCGCUUCUUCAACAAAGAUCGUUUAAUAAUAAAUCAUUCAUUUGAUUCAUUUCACCCUUUUUUACAUGAAUCAUGAUUAGUAAAAUAAAAAUGCCAAAAAGAAAGACCAAACUUAAUCUAAUCUAACUUCUCUAAUCCCUUUUUUUCUUACUGGAAAGAAAAAUUGAAAAUAGAUAUUCAUCGAACAUAAUCUUCAGAAUGAAGGGAAUGUUUUGCCAAAACGUCUUGUGCAGAACCCAACCAAGUUAGGCUUAUACGGCAAAAAGGACUUCUUCUUAUUAAUCAUUCUCAAUUCUCUGUUCUUAACAUAUAAAGCCUCGUGCGCUGUCACCGCCGCUUUUUUCUUCUCAGCGAAACCAUUGCCUUUCGGUCUUUCAGCGACCUCUAUGCUCCACCGCUCGUUCAUCCUUUUCUUCUCCGCCGUCAGGAACAGAUACGACUCCUUCCCCUCGCUAUUGCUCCGGCGAAGCAAAUCAAAAAGCUUCCACUUCUUUGACGACGACCCUGUCGAAUUGCUCUUCUUGCAUUUUCUCGGCGAAUUCGGCGUCCACAUGCAGUAAGUAGCUGCCGGGACUCCCUCCAAUUCAUCCGCCUCCGACGAAGACGAUGAAUCCGACAGCGGAACCUGUAACAGAUCGUGCUCGCUCCGGUGAAGAUCGUCUCCGGUGAUAGGGAACCGGAGGACUGCCGCGCCGGAAUCGCGUCCGCCGGCGAUGCUGCUCCCUUGCGUACUUGAUUGAGAACGAUGGCAGAAUAGCCGUGGACUUUGUGUAUUUAUAGGAUGGAAAAGGAACAUGGAAAUCAACUUGGAGAAGUCCAGGAAGCUCACAAGGUAUUAUAAUAAUCAUUUCAAGAAUACAAGGUUUAUAUUUUUAAAAUACGUCAGGAAUGAUGCAACUGUAACUACUGUCACCAUACGAAAAAUGUAUUGUGAUUGUAAUUUUUAAUUAUAAUUUAUUAUUAACAUUUGA
This 1434-nucleotide small RNA is filed under the name Vigna angularis var. angularis. RNAcentral describes it as "Non-protein coding transcript". The record is from RNAcentral. Lineage: Eukaryota; Viridiplantae; Streptophyta; Magnoliopsida; Fabales; Fabaceae.